UGGGAAUUUUGGACAAUGGGCGAAAGCCUGAUCCAGCAAUGCCGCGUGUGUGAAGAAGGCCUUCGGGUUGUAAAGCACUUUUGUCCGGAAAGAAAUCCUUGGCUCUAAUACAGUCGGGGGAUGACGGUACCGGAAGAAUAAGCACCGGCUAACUACGUGCCAGCAGCCGCGGUAAUACGUAGGGUGCAAGCGUUAAUCGGAAUUACUGGGCGUAAAGCGUGCGCAGGCGGUUUGCUAAGACCGAUGUGAAAUCCCCGGGCUCAACCUGGGAACUGCAUUGGUGACUGGCAGGCUAGAGUAUGGCAGAGGGGGGUAGAAUUCCACGUGUAGCAGUGAAAUGCGUAGAGAUGUGGAGGAAUACCGAUGGCGAAGGCAGCCCCCUGGGCCAAUACUGACGCUCAUGCACGAAAGCGUGGGGAGCAAACAGGAUUAGAUACCCUGGUAGUCCACGCCCUAAACGAUGUCAACUAGUUGUUGGGGAUUCAUUUCCUUAGUAACGUAGCUAACGCGUGAAGUUGACCGCCUGGGGAGUACGGUCGCAAGAUUAAAACUUAAAGGAA
This 560-nucleotide ribosomal RNA is filed under the name uncultured bacterium. RNAcentral describes it as "partial 16S ribosomal RNA". It matches the Rfam family "Bacterial small subunit ribosomal RNA", at positions 356 to 909 of the family's 1533-position model. The record is from RNAcentral.